GAUGUUAGCGGCGGACGGGUGAGUAACACGUGGGUAACCUGCCUGUAAGACUGGGAUAACUCCGGGAAACCGGGGCUAAUACCGGAUGGUUGUUUGAACCGCAUGGUUCAAACAUAAAAGGUGGCUUCGGCUACCACUUACAGAUGGACCCGCGGCGCAUUAGCUAGUUGGUGAGGUAACGGCUCACCAAGGCAACGAUGCGUAGCCGACCUGAGAGGGUGAUCGGCCACACUGGGACUGAGACACGGCCCAGACUCCUACGGGAGGCAGCAGUAGGGAAUCUUCCGCAAUGGACGAAAGUCUGACGGAGCAACGCCGCGUGAGUGAUGAAGGUUUUCGGAUCGUAAAGCUCUGUUGUUAGGGAAGAACAAGUACCGUUCGAAUAGGGCGGUACCUUGACGGUACCUAACCAGAAAGCCACGGCUAACUACGUGCCAGCAGCCGCGGUAAUACGUAGGUGGCAAGCGUUGUCCGGAAUUAUUGGGCGUAAAGGGCUCGCAGGCGGUUUCUUAAGUCUGAUGUGAAAGCCCCCGGCUCAACCGGGGAGGGUCAUUGGAAACUGGGGAACUUGAGUGCAGAAGAGGAGAGUGGAAUUCCACGUGUAGCGGUGAAAUGCGUAGAGAUGUGGAGGAACACCAGUGGCGAAGGCGACUCU
This 655-nucleotide ribosomal RNA is filed under the name Bacillus tequilensis. Its description in RNAcentral is "bacterial SSU rRNA". It matches the Rfam family "Bacterial small subunit ribosomal RNA", at positions 88 to 728 of the family's 1533-position model. Lineage: Bacteria; Bacillati; Bacillota; Bacilli; Caryophanales; Bacillaceae. The record is from RNAcentral.